Molecule: non-coding RNA, 30 nt
Filed under: Mus musculus (house mouse)
Lineage: Eukaryota; Metazoa; Chordata; Mammalia; Rodentia; Muridae
Source: RNAcentral
UUUGAAACCUUCUAAUGCCCUGGUGGUUCA